Molecule: unclassified non-coding RNA, 205 nt
Filed under: Hevea brasiliensis (rubber tree)
Lineage: Eukaryota; Viridiplantae; Streptophyta; Magnoliopsida; Malpighiales; Euphorbiaceae
Source: RNAcentral
CCCGAAAUAUAUCUUUGAAGUUGAAAUGGCACUACCUUAUCUUCAUAACCUUGCCAGAUGUGAACAGAGCUUUCAUUUUGAGGAAAUGGAUUUCUUAGCUGAAUUGGAUCAAAGUCCCAAUCUCCAAAACCCGUUAUAAAAUCACGACGGAGAGUAUCAAAGACAUCUUGUUGCCGUAAUCUAUCCUGUUUGUGGAAACAAAAAC